CCCAGACCUCAUUUAAGGGUUGGCAGUGGUAGUAAGGGCAUCUGUUGCUAGAGUUCCCUGCUUAUCUGAGACCUUCUAAAGGAAAUAUCGUCCCUGUUCUUCUGCCAGUAGAAAAUGCAGAUCUUUCUGUUCUUCCUACUCCUGUGCUACAAGAAACAGGACACUGAUGAAUGUGAAACCUUCAAGCAAAGCUUUUGCCUGUUCAGAGAAUGGUCAACUUCCUCUGAGUUGCUCCAAGCAACUGGAGAGCGAGCAGGAGCCUUGGAGAAAUGACAAGACAGGACAUGAAGGCUUAAAAAGUUCUGUAGCUAGUCAAUCUGAGCACUACUUCCUGCGUUUCCUGCUCCCUAGUAGUGCUCAGCGGUGGCCAUUUUAAAGCCCUACAACAAGCUGAAGUUUAUCAGGUUUGUGUGAUAUCUGUUAAAACGUGCAUCUGGCCAAGCACUGUUGAGCAAUGGGCACUGCAAACUCCAGGCCUUCAGACACAAAAAACAGAUGCUACAAAAAUGAGCAUGUGCCUCAGAAAAGCAGAACACAAGAUCAAAGGUAACAUCCAUGUCCUCAAUCUGUGCAACACCAGAGAAAUGAUGAAGUAGACCUGGGCACUUCUCCUGUUUCUAAAGUUGUAAGGAAGCAGUUUAUAAAACAACUGAAGUUGCCUUUCUUCUGCCUUCAAGUCUGAAAACUGGAAGAUGGAGUUGUGUGGGGCCUCUCUGAGUGCCAGGAGUGAGGCAGGAGCUGCCUAGCCACUAUGUGCAUCAGAACACCCAUUGGCAACUCCUUGCUGGCUACUGCGGGUGAAGUCAUACAACUGUCUGCAGCAAGAAGGAUCUCCAGAUACCAGUCCAGUUCUAGUCUGUGAACACAUUUGUCUGAGGGCUGUUGUCACCAGCAUGAUUAAAUAGGGAAAAAUGGAGAGAGACAAAAUAUUUGUAGAAGACUAACUUGAUGAAAAAGGAAAAAAGGAAAAACAAAGAUCUUGAUUAAUGGACUUGUGUUUAGGCCAAGGGAUACAUACACUGAAAACAGUUAUAAUUCAUUUCUGAUCAUUUCCCAUUUUACAGGUUCAGGUGGAGGGGAAUGUGCAUGGGGAUGAGAGUACAAACAGACCUUGGGGUUGUCUCCAUUUCCAACAUAAAAGUUUAUAAUUCCUUGUGUCCCUAAAGUGACUGUGGCCCAGAAUGUGCAGACAACUCUGACACAGCAAAAGGUACAAUGGAAGCCACUUUGCAGUCACUGGCAACACAUUCAGUCAUAUGUGCCAGCCGCACUUUUCUUUCCCAGGCUUAUCAUUAGCGUGAAAAAAGGCAUCUUCUCCACAUCAUCCCAGAAGUGAUAAAAAUGUGGAGCUCUGUGCUUCUCUUGGGAGAACUUUCAGCUCAUAUAUCUAUAAGAAAUGAUGAGCCCUUUUUCAGAGAACCUUUGCAAAGGACUUUCUUCUCUGUAUGGGCCCUACUGCCUACCUGGAUAUUAGCUGUGAUGGAUAAGGUAAGUGUGAGAGUCACUGAUUGCUGAAAGCAAUACUAUUGAAAUGUUCCAUAGCCAAAACUUGGCUGGAUAGCAAAGAAGUGACAAUCUUUGUCACAAAACUUUGGCUUGAUUCACAGACAUCUGCUGAAUACUCUUCUUGUUGGCCAAAAAGCAUAGGAGUCUGGUGUUGCAAGCUGAAAAAAAAUGCCAUUAGAGUUUUAAUCAGAGAUUUUGCAUACACUUUUUCUUUUUUAAAUGUUUGAUCUGUUUUCCACGUAAAGAGACCAUGUUGUAACUUGGACAAAAAGAGCAGAUAGGCUCAGCCAUAUUCAAAAGUGGUUUUUGAACUUUCCAUUUGUUGGGAGGACUCACUUCUUCACUCCCAUGCCAGUGCCUGGGAGUCCUCUGCUGCUCAGAUUAGCAUAGGAGAUAGUUGUAUUAGCUUUAUAGUGAAUAGAUGAGUCCUCAAAAUCCUCUUCUUGCAAUAGUAUGUCAACAAUAUAUUGAGAGCCUAUUUUCACUAAUUGAUUCCAACUUUGGAAGACAUACAGUCAAUUUAUGAAAAGAAUAUCUCAUGGCUUUUGCUUUUAAAGAAUCUGCAAGAGGCCUGGAUGCCCAGAAGAACAGAUGCUGAGGCUCAUCAGUUGCUUGAAAGCGAGGAUCCACAGCUGGCAAGCGGAGCUGUGAAAAGUUAACAUAUUGGAAAAAACAACACAUUUUCCAUGUAAAGCUGCUGUCUUAAAUAGAACACGGCUGCACAAAUUUUU
Molecule: long non-coding RNA, 2237 nt
Organism: Lagopus muta (rock ptarmigan)
Lineage: Eukaryota; Metazoa; Chordata; Aves; Galliformes; Phasianidae
Exons: 4
Source: RefSeq, a predicted model, not a curated record